AUUGAACGCUGGCGGCAUGCCUUACACAUGCAAGUCGAACGGUAACGCGGGGCAACCUGGCGACGAGUGGCGAACGGGUGAGUAAAGCAUCGGAACGUGCCCAGUAGUGGGGGAUAGCCCGGCGAAAGCCGGAUUAAUACCGCAUACGACCUAUGGGUGAAAGGGGGGGAUCGCAAGACCUCUCGCUAUUGGAGCGGCCGAUGUCAGAUUAGGUAGUUGGUGGGGUAAAGGCCUACCAAGCCGACGAUCUGUAGCUGGUCUGAGAGGACGACCAGCCACACUGGGACUGAGACACGGCCCAGACUCCUACGGGAGGCAGCAGUGGGGAAUUUUGGACAAUGGGCGCAAGCCUGAUCCAGCCAUGCCGCGUGCGGGAAGAAGGCCUUCGGGUUGUAAACCGCUUUUGUCAGGGAAGAAAUCCUUUGGGUUAAUACCUCGAGGGGAUGACGGUACCUGAAGAAUAAGCACCGGCUAACUACGUGCCAGCCGCCGCAGUAA
Molecule: ribosomal RNA, 498 nt
Filed under: uncultured bacterium
Lineage: Bacteria
Description: partial 16S ribosomal RNA
Rfam family: Bacterial small subunit ribosomal RNA
Source: RNAcentral